CUGCAAAAAAAAAUAAGGCUCCGUUUGGUUGAUGUAUAUGAUGAGACAUAGACACAAAGACAUAGACACUAAAGACAUGGACAUAAAAUAUUUGUGUCUAU
Non-coding RNA from Arachis ipaensis, 101 nucleotides. The record is from RefSeq and is a predicted model, not a curated record. NCBI's taxonomy places the organism in Eukaryota, Viridiplantae, Streptophyta, Magnoliopsida, Fabales, Fabaceae.